Molecule: transfer RNA, 81 nt
Filed under: Lentinula aff. boryana
Lineage: Eukaryota; Fungi; Basidiomycota; Agaricomycetes; Agaricales; Omphalotaceae
Also listed under: 2 other names
Description: tRNA-Pro
Source: RNAcentral
GGCCUGAUGGUCUAGGAGUAUGAUUCGUUGUUAGGGUUUCUACCAUCGACGAGGUCCCGGGUUCAAUUCCCGGUCAGGCCC